UACGUAGGGUGCGAGCGUUAAUCGGAAUUACUGGGCGUAAAGCGUGCGCAGGCGGUUUUGUAAGCCAGGUGUGAAAUCCCCGGGCUCAACCUGGGAAUGGCAUUUGAUACUCUGGAGCUUGAGUACGGGAGAGGAGAGUGGAAUUCCCAGUGUAGAGGUGAAAUUCGUAGAUAUUGGGAAGAACACCGGUGGCGAAGGCGGCUCUCUGGACCGUAACUGACGCUGAGGCGCGAAAGCGUGGGGAGCAAACAGG
RNAcentral lists this ribosomal RNA (253 nucleotides) under uncultured bacterium. Its description in RNAcentral is "partial 16S ribosomal RNA". It matches the Rfam family "Bacterial small subunit ribosomal RNA", at positions 524 to 776 of the family's 1533-position model. The record is from RNAcentral.